UUUUUCAAAUUAAAUUGUGGACCUCUGUGUGUGUGUGUGUGUGUGUGUGUGUGUGUGUGUAUUGGGGAUUCAAUAAAAUUAUUGGGCGCGGGUCUAUUCGAGCGUUAACAAAUAUUAUUGUUCAUUUUGCUGUUAUUGUGAUUAUAAAUUUCGUAUGUGCUGCUUGUGUAAACAGCAACAACAACAGCACGACAAUGGCAGCAAUUUGGGGUGCAGCCAGUAAAUUAUUGUGCAGUCAGCCAGCCAACAGCCAACUGAUUGAUUUACAUUGUUGCAAUUGUCUGGCUUCCCUCGCCCAUCGGAUUCAGUGAGCAAUGAGAAUGGAUUUCCACUCGACCCCCGACCGGAACACACCCAAAUCGCAGAUAGAUUCCAAAUAGAUAGAUGUUCGUAUGUAUAGGAGUGAUAUUGAACAACUUUUGCCAUGGCAUCUGGGGCCAUAAACAAUAUGGGCACAUGCGAUUUACAUAUCAAUGAAGCGAUCGCUUUGGAAACAGGCCUCUAUCUUGUUCCAACUGAAUGGCUAAAUGUUUGACAAAUCGUGAAUCCAUUUGAUGAAUCACACUCAUACCUGCGACUUCUGGCAACCUCAUUCGCAAAACAAAUUCCGCCAAAACAUGGAUUGUCUAUCUGAUUGUGCGAUCGCUUAAGACUUAAGACCAGCAAAUUUCUUAUAAGUAGCACUUGGCUGGCGCUUAUGAAUUUCAUUCAUCCGCGGCCCCAGUGGAUCCCCGAUCCCAAAAUUGUUUUGCCCAAAAACCGGCAACUUCCGUUCGAAAGCGAUGGCUAACUGGCGAUUAGCGGAUCCGCUGCCUAAAGAUGCUUUAUAAUAAUAUCAAAUAUGCUGCGGCUGGGUUGGAAAAAUUAAAAAAAAAAAAACAAAAGAAGCGAGAAAACAUUAAAAAACGAACAUGGAAAUUAUUGUCGGUCUCUCCACUUGAGGCCGAUAAAAGUUUUUCGAUAGUGGCAGUGAAAAUGCCACAAACAGCUCAUUACAAGCGUCAAAACAAAUUUAUGCAAAUAGCAGCAGCCGCUGUGGCAGCAGCAGCAACAACAACAGGAACCACAAAUCGGAAAGAGUGACCAUAUAUACAUGCAUAUAUAGCCAGAGAUCGGGCCUUUAAGCCGAGUUCGCAGCGGUGGCAAUUAACAUUGCGCCGUGCGUUGAGCAUUAAUCAUUUUAAUCGCAAUUUAUGUGUCGUCGACGUCGUCAACACGAGCCGACACGACAGCAGCCGCAGCAGCAACAGCCGCAACAGCAGCAGCAACAGCAGCAGCAACGGCAGCAACACCAUCAUCAUCGCAAGAAUCAACUACGACUACUACAGUGAAGCCUAUGCUUGCAAAACACAGGUAGGCUUCGCUUUGCGCAUGAGGCAAUACAUUUUGUCAUUUAAAAACACAUUUUUCAAAAUUAAUUUUGCCACUCAUAAAAAUUUACAGUAAUUGUUGAAUAAUUUUAUUAAAAUUUUUAAAGCUUAAAGAUAAUUUUUUAGAUUUAUUUUCACUUAUUUAGUUAGUUAAAAAGACAUUGAAUUUGUAGAGAAUACACGCUACCUUUUUAGUUUGAAUAACUCGUAUGCUAUUGAUAAAAGCCCAUUUCAGUAAAGAUAGUCUGCUAUUAAAAGGUGCCUAAUUUUCCAAAAAUAUAUGUGCACUACAUGCAUGCUUCACUGUGCCCCAUAUGGACCGCAAAUGAGCGCUAAACGAGCUCGAAGAUUUCAAGAGCAGCACGAUUUUUUGGGGGCAGCCUGAAGAAAGCCGACUUGGAGUUUUGAUUCCGCACUUUUUCGGGGCGGUCUUUCAAAGCCACCGCACGCACUUCAAUCCCCAUUCCCAUCCGCAUCCCCAUCCCCAUCCCCAUACCCAUUCCCCAAUGCCAAGCCCCAUCUUUUACCGCCCUGUUAUCUGGACAUCUUGUCGGCUCGGUGUCAACGUCAAUGACGACACCGAGGCAUUUGCUCCGAUCAAAUUAUGUUUCAUAAACGCUCGCAUUUAUGGCGAAUGACAAUGGCAAUGACAACAGCACAUCGCAGCAGCUUUAAAGCAAUGAUUUGUUACAAUUCUCAAGUUAUUUGAACUUUUUCGAGAUUCCUCUGGUCGAUGGCCCGCAAUCUGCGGCUCUUUGUUAGAGUUCGACUUUUUCCCGGAUUUCGUGCUAAAUGCCUAAUUAUUUUUUAUUUGUCAGGCAAUUGGUAUGAGGUGCCUUGGUGGUAAAAACUUAAAGAAAAACGGGUGAGGAUGUGUAAUCGAUGUGGUUGCAAGUCGCAGGUGAUCGAUUACUGUUGAAAGGACAAUGCCUCAAGCGAGAACAGUAAAAUAUUUUUCAACAAUUGAUCUUUUUUACAGAUACGUUCUUAUUAAACUUUUGCAGAGAUAUGAUCAAUUUGCCUAGAUAAUUUCCUCUUUAGUGACCAUAACUUCCUUUUUCCGACACGGAUUUCUUCUACAGCCAAAUAACUUGGUUUCUUUUGAAGACCACUUCUUUUACUAUUUUCUUCGCUGCAAAGAAGCUCUAAUGUUGAAUGGGUUCUAAGUCUUUAGGGCAAUUUUAUGAGGGUUUUCGUAGCCCCAACGGCUACCGAGAAUCGCUCAGUUCUUGCAGCUUCAAGUUUUGCUGCGUUCAAGUUGUACUUUUACGACUGAACAGAGUUGGUCGCUUGUAAAUUUGUAAUAAUUGCAGAUAUUUUAACUCCACUUGGGCUGGCUACGAUUUAUGGCCAGCUAAUUCGCUUUGCAUGUCAAUCGAACUGUACGAGCAGGCCAUUUAUGCUGGCCCAACCAGACGGACGGGACGACUCACCGUUCGCAUGAUUUUCUAAAAACUUUUAUUUUAUAUUAAAAUUUAACGAGACUGCCAUAAAUCUUUGCUAAAAAGCAGACAAUUCAAAUUUCGCAAGCUCCGCGCGCGAAAGGAGCAGGAUGGUCGACAGGGGCGGAGGCUGCAAAGGGGUUCGUUUGAAAGGACAGGUUGACGGAGAGACGACAGUGGCCACGUUAAACGUUUCGCCACUGAAAUUGAUCCAGUUGCAGUGGUCCGCGGAUGCCUUGCAUCGCUGGAAAUGUUUCCAUCAUUGGCCAGCAGUUUGAGAGGCAGAAGCCGAAGGGUUCGGGAGAGGAUUCUGGAGGCAGGAGCUGGGGGCACCCAUAAUUCUUGCACUAAAGGCCAGACAAAAAGCACUGAGCGAUGGCCAUGUCAGCAGCUACUGACUCCGAUCCGAUCCGGGCCCAGCUCGCACUCCAACUCGAACUCCAAAGGCGCAAUGUCCGGCCGAUUUAACCAAAUGGGCAUAUGGACAUCGGCUGGCAAACUGGCAAACUGGCAAAGUGGCAAACUGGUCAAGAGCGAGCCGCGUGCGUCGCCGGCCUGACAAUAGGCGAAAUAUCAUCGAAAACCAUAAAAAACUGACAGCACAAAAAGAGGUGUUGACACAUUGAUUUAUCUGGCAUGCUACUGGGCACAGCACAGAUGAGACCAGAGACCGGAGACCGGACCUUCUGACUUCGCCUUCUAUUUGGCUGACCGCGGAUGAGGAUAAACGGCGCGGCUCGUCCAGCGGUAACUGCUGUUUUGGAUGGAUGGAUUCAUAUGCGAAUGCUGAGGGGCUGCGACAGGAACAGGAACAGGAGCGGCAAAGGCGGCAACAAUAUCAUAACCAUAACAAUGAACACACUCAGAGAAAAAGAGCCAUCAAAUCAGGGGGUACAAAUGCUUUCAGAGUGGAUAUAGACAAACCAAAUCCAGUAAUAAUUUAAAAUUAACAAUAUUUUGAAUUUAUAUAAUGAUGUCAUUAACACGUUAAGAAAAUCCUAGCAAAUCCUAUUUUUAGACAAAUUAAAGUGAUGUACAUAUUUAA
This is a long non-coding RNA of Drosophila yakuba, 3857 nucleotides long. RefSeq lists it as uncharacterized. The transcript is spliced from 3 exons. The record is from RefSeq and is a predicted model, not a curated record. Lineage: Eukaryota; Metazoa; Arthropoda; Insecta; Diptera; Drosophilidae.